RNAcentral lists this ribosomal RNA (429 nucleotides) under Bacillota bacterium. RNAcentral's name for it is "Firmicutes bacterium partial 16S ribosomal RNA". It matches the Rfam family "Bacterial small subunit ribosomal RNA", at positions 355 to 776 of the family's 1533-position model. Lineage: Bacteria; Bacillati; Bacillota. The record is from RNAcentral.
UAGGGAAUCUUCGGCAAUGGACGGAAGUCUGACCGAGCAACGCCGCGUGAGUGAAGAAGGUUUUCGGAUUGUAAAGCUCUGUUGUUAGAGAAGAACGUUGGUAGGAGUGGAAAAUCUACUAAGUGACGGUAACUAACCAGAAAGGGACGGCUAACUACGUGCCAGCAGCCGCGGUAAUACGUAGGUCCCGAGCGUUGUCCGGAUUUAUUGGGCGUAAAGCGAGCGCAGGCGGUUCUUUAAGUCUGAAGUUAAAGGCAGUGGCUUAACCAUUGUACGCUUUGGAAACUGGAGGACUUGAAUGCAGAAGGGGAGGGAGGAAUUCCAUGUGUAGCGGUGAAAUGCGUAGAUAUAUGGAGGAACACCGGUGGCGAAAGCGGCUCUCUGGUCUGUAACUGACGCUGAGGCUCGAAAGCGUGGGGAGCAAACAGG